Molecule: non-coding RNA, 3494 nt
Organism: Lolium perenne
Lineage: Eukaryota; Viridiplantae; Streptophyta; Magnoliopsida; Poales; Poaceae
Source: RefSeq, a predicted model, not a curated record
UUACAAAUGUUUUUUUUUAAUAGAGCUUCAGGAUACUUCCAAAAUGUGUGACGGACACAGUAAUGAACACAAAAGAACACUGUAUUAGCUUAUUUGGCCACCAUCUUCAAGUGGCCUAGAACAUUCAGCUAGCAUUGAAAAAGAUAUGAAGUGGUUCAGAGAACAAGAAAUUGAAAUUCCAGAGCCACUCAUGGAUCAACAUAAAUCAUCUUAUGUUUUGAUUUCGUUUUUUGGCAUCCAAGUGCCGUUGGAAGAUAUAAUAUACUCAUACUUGUAUUUAACAUGUACACUGAAGAAUCUCUAUAUAGUAAUAGACAUAGCGUAAGAGGAAUGCACUUUAAACAUAAGUUCCGAUAUUAUCUUACUGUCUUUGUUUUCUCAAGAUUAUUCAGUUUAAAUAGAGAGUGAGAUGAUUUCAGGUUGCUACCAUGUUCAGCGCUGAACUCUCGAUGAUAUCGUCAUCAUCCAAGUUGGUUGCUGCCACACCGGUCCUUGGGCCAGGAGAACCUACCAAUGAUUUUUAUUUUUCAUGUAGCUUGCUAUUUCUUAUUUUACAUGGAGGUUGCUUAAUUUGGUUUGAAUUAUGUCGCUUGAUGUUGUAUGCUCUGUGUAGCUGCAGCGGUUCAGUCCAUGGGGUCUUCUACAAGGUACCCACAAUCGCUGCAGUAUUUACUUAUCUAAGUUUGGAGUGCUUUGAUCUUGUUAUGUAACAAUACUUUAUUAAGGUGAGCUAGACAACAGUUUUUCUGUUAAAAUAUGACACCUCAUUUUCGUAUGUCCUUCUGUUCAUCUUGUAUUCGUCGUAUGGAGCAAAAUUCUACAGCAGUACAAGUACAAGCUCUCCUGAAGAAUCAUGCUGAAUACUAAAAGCUGCUCUCCCAAAGAAAAGUCUACUUUCUAAUUACCCCAUGUAUUUGUCAUGUAAUUUAUUAUUAUUCUUUUCUGCAAUUUACUUUGGGGUUUUGUGAGAUUCAAUCAUUCUAAAUUCAGUAUUAUUUUCAACAUAGUCUGGGAUAAAAAGUAGUCACUACAGAGUGGUGUUUCAAAUUAUGUACAUUAUGUUUUUCUAAUGAAUAAUCCUUUACUUGCUUCUUUCUUCAGCUUGAAAUUAGCCUUCUGGAGCAGAUCAGUUGAAAAUAGCUCUAUAGCAACAGGUACUGUUCACCUUCCCCAGUUCAUUAUCCUCAUGUGUAAGUAAUUAGAUAGACUUGGGUAAUGUUUGAUCUCCUCUCAGCAGUAUCAGACUCAUUAGGUCUUGUGAUAAUGGUUUAUUGUUGUCACUGUCUUCAUGUAGCUUGCUAUUUCUUAUUUUACAUGGAGGUUGCUUAAUUUGGUUUGGAUUAUGUCUCUUGAUGUUGUAUGCUCUGUGUAGCUGCAGCGGUUCAGUCCAUGGGGUCUUCUGCAAGGUACCCACAAUCGAUGCAGUAUUUACUUAUCUAAGUUUGGAGUGCUUUGAUCUUGUUAUGUAACAAUACUUUAUUAAGGUGAGCUAGACAACAUUUUUUCUGUUAAAAUAUGACACCUCAUUUCGUAUGUCGUUCAGUUCAUCUUAUAUUCGUCGUAUAGAGCAAAAUUCUACAGCAGUACAAGCUCUCGUGAAGAAUCAUGCUGAAUACUAAAAGCUGCUCUCCCAAAGAAAAGUCUACUUUCUAAUUACCCCAUGUAUUUGUCAUGUAAUUUAUUAUUAUUCUUUCCUGCAAGUUACUUUGGGGUUUUGUGAGAUUCAAUCAUUCUAAAUUCAGUAUUAUUUUCAACAUAGUCUGGGAUAAAAAGUAGUCACUACAGAGUGGUGUUUCAAAUUAUAUUACAUUAUGUUUUUCUAAUGAAUAAUCCUUUACUUGCUUCUUUCUUUAGCUUGAAAUUAGCCUUCUGGAGCAGAUCAGUUGAAAAUAGCUCUAUAGCAAUAGGAAAUUUAUGGGAACAAUGGUUAUCUGAUGGUAUCAUGCAAUGCUGACCUUAACCCAAUGCGAACUGCUGUCUGCGGAAGAAGAGAAGAAAGAUUUAUCAAUAAGGCCAAUAUGUGUGCAGAUCUUCUCCAUUCUAGAUCUGAACUCCUCUUGUUUCAUAAAGCACUAAGAGCGAAAAUAUUUGCAUUUGAGGAAUAUCCGCCACGAGCACCCUGGAGGGCGACACCUUCAUCGAAGCUCCCCGCCGUGUUGGGAGAGGAUGCGGGAGGAACGAUGGAAGAGGCAGAGCGGGAGUGGCGCUGCAGGAGGGUGUCUCGGAUGAAGGCGGAGGUGCGCCAGUGGAGUCCCCGGUGCUGGCCCGGCGGCCCGCGCCGAGAAGGUCAUACACUGCAGCUGGAAUAAGGACCGGUUGCGGCUGUGGCUACAUCGGGAUGGACGGCUGCUACUAGGGAGCGCUGAGCGGCGGCGGUGACUGGACGCUGCGACGGCGGUAGCUGGACGCUGCAGCGCUGGCGUCUGGACGCGGAAACAGAGGUGGAGGGAGCGCGCACCCGGUACAGGCGAUGCGCAGAGGCCCGGCGACCUAGGAGGGCCUAUGGGUUUUUUCGAGACCGGAGAAGGUGCAUACGAAGCGGCGGCUCCUGCAUGCGUGCGACUUCCAGUGCUAUGUGAGGAGGGCGGAUGUUGGAGGUGGCGCCGUCGAGGUUGCAUGCCUAGCACCGUGGAGGUUGCAGGCCUAGGGCCUGCACUCGUCAUGCCUUUGCGGCAGCCCGCUCCAGCCUCCAGCCUCCAGGUUCUGGUUUACAUGAUGAAUUGGCGACGAUACUGCAGAAGCAUCCGUUUCAUGCCUGCCUCAGAUGGCUAUAUCGAUGCAGUCAUGAUAAGGGAUUGUCCAAAUGCUGAUCUUUUAGAUUUGCUGCUCAAGAUGAGCAAUGUGGUUCUCUGGCUUUCGGAAUUUCGGCUCAUGUAAGGAAAAGUGAGAAACUAGGAAUUGCAGCCUGUGGGGAGGAUGAACUGGCCUCUUAUGUAUGCUCAAGAUCCAUGUUGUGGCCGGUUCAAUUGUACAUACCCUUAUGUAUGCUCAAGAUCCAUGUUGUGGCCGAUUCAAUUGUAUAGAGCACCAAGGAGGAAGCUCUGGGGGGAUGAAUAAAGAACAUGAGAUGCUAACCAUCCGGCUAUGAAGGGGUUUCUUGAGAGUCAAAGGAUGGUAUGCAUAUCAUAUUUGGAUGUUGUAACAAUAUUGAUCCUGCUCUAUUCAGAUACUUUUGAGAUUAUAAGUCAUUGUUGCCGUACAAAUUGCACCCCUUAUUAUGUGAAUGGAUCAUAUAAUAAGUUCAGAACAGCUGCAUUUACUUACGGUUUGUGCAUGCACACUUAUAUAUUUUUUCUCCCUCGAGCUGGAUCAUAUUCAAUGCACUCCAUUUUUACAGCUUCAAAUUGUUUUUGGGUAGGCUUCCCAAAAUAGGAAGUAUGGUUACAAUGAUGGAAUCUGUGAACUGUUGUCAUUUAUACAUGUAAUUUACAGGCUUUGUUUCCAGUUGAAGAAUAAGCCAUGGAUAGUAGUGUGGGCUAUUGAGUCACGUCCUG